Molecule: long non-coding RNA, 2049 nt
Organism: Chloebia gouldiae (Gouldian finch)
Lineage: Eukaryota; Metazoa; Chordata; Aves; Passeriformes; Passeridae
Source: Ensembl
CGCGGCCAGGGGCUGGCACGGGGCAGCCGCCGACACCGGAGGCCGUGGGGCAGCUGCGGACAGAGGCUGAAGUGCUGCCCUUCCCUGGGACCCCCGCCGGGACAGCCGAGCUCUCCAGCCCGCAGGGGAGCCCCGGAGGCCCCGGGCUGGGCAGGGAGGGGACAGGGCCGGCGGUGCCAGGGGGCAGAGCCACCGAGCCCCCGGGGCCCCUGGUCUCUGCCGGGCUGGGGGUGACCACUGCAGGGACCCCAGCCCCUGGGGAGGUGGACACAGGUCCUGGAAGCACGCAGCCCCCGGGCACUGACCCUGUAGGACAUGUGACAGUGGAAGGUGCCACCGGGCAGGGGACACUUUUGUAUUCACCACCCUCUGCAGCAGUGCCAGGUUCUGCCAGGGGACAGUGGAGGUCCAGCAGCACCCUGCUGGCAUGGAAAGCCACUGGGACGCCCCUUGUGCAGAGCCAGAAUGACACUCUCCUGCUGGGUGACAGCAGCCCAGGGACCCGCCCGAGCACCGUGCUGCCCACUGACAGCUCGGCCCCAGGGACAGCAGGGACAUCACCCUUUGCUGGGGGGCUGCAGAGGCUGCUGACCCCCAGAGGGACACUGCAGGGGACACACUGGGGGCUGCCAGGGCUGCCAGGAGGACAGGGCUUUGCUUCCCACCCACAGGAGAGUCCCCGCUCUGCCCCUCACCCCUCUGCACUGUCCCUUGGCCCUGCUGGGAGCCCUUUGGCCAGCACAGCCUGGCCAGCUGUGGGGACAGGCCCAGCCUUGCUGCCUGCCACACGCAGGGGCUCAGCUCUGCCUGUCCCCACCACCAUGGCCAGCACCCCGGGGGUGACAUCUCCUGGCCAGGGAGGAGCUCUGGCCCUGACCACGAGGGUCUUGGGCCCACCUGGCAGGGGGGCUCCCCCUGAGCACGGUCACGUCCCCCAGAGCCCAUCAGCCAUGCCAGAGCAGCCCCCUGGCCCCCUGGCCCCUGGCAGCCCCGCUGUGGCACAGGAUGGGGUGACACACGCCAGUCCUGGGUCCUCCCACAUCCCCUCGUCCCCACAGUCUGCCCCAGGCUCUGCUGUGACCCUGCUGUCGACCCCGCUGCCUUCCCCAGGGACCAGCUGGGGGUUCCUGGGACUCGGCCCCACCGUGGGCACCCCUCUAGGAGACCCCUCCCCAGGGCUGCCCCAUUCCAGCUCGAGGGUGGGUCCUGCUGAGAGCCCUCCAUCCCUGGGGGGGACCCAGGUGGGAGUGGGCAGCCCAGCACCCCCCUCAGCACCUGGGCCUCCCCAGCAGCCAGCUUUGUCGCAGUCUUCACCUUCCCUGGGACCAACCACUGCUGCUGGCAUCACCACCACCCGUGUCACUGCCACCAUCACAACUGCCACCAGCCCAGAAAGGCUCGGGGACAUGGGCACAGUCACAGCAGGGCCGCGUGCUGCUGUACUGCAGAGGGAUGGGCAGGGGGUGACAUGGGGAUCCCCGACUCAUGCGCCCACUGUGAUGCCCGGGCCCCCCCCGCAGCCCACAGAUUCCCCAGGUGGGGGCCCUGGGUCCCCCCCAGCUGCUGUGGACACAGACCUGGCCCAGCCACCGAGCAGCCCCAGAGGGAGGACAGACACUGACACCCCCCAGGUGACUCUGGCUGGGGUGGGCAGGGCCCCCCAGGUGUUCAUCGUGGAAGAUCAGCCCCCGCUCCUGAGAGCAUCCCUCCUGCGCGUCCCCUGUGAGCUGGUGCUGGACAUGGGCUUCGUCCCGGCCCUGCAGGACCCCGGGUCCCGGGAGCGCCAGGAGCUGCUGCACAGCUUCAACCAGACGGUGAGUGCGGGCCGGGCCGGGCCGAGCCGGGCUGGGCCGGGCCGGGGCCACCGCGCUCAGCUCCCGCCGCCCUUCCAGGUCACUCCCCUGUUCACGGCGCUGCCUGGAUUCCUACGGCUGGAGGUGACGGGGAUCAGGGAGGGCAGCGUGGUGCUGCGCUACGACGCGCUGUUCGCGGCGGAGCAGCUGCCGGGGCUGGGGCUGGACGAGCUCCUCGAGGCCGCGCUGGGCUCUG